Molecule: ribosomal RNA, 435 nt
Filed under: uncultured bacterium
Lineage: Bacteria
Description: partial 16S ribosomal RNA
Rfam family: Bacterial small subunit ribosomal RNA
Source: RNAcentral
AGCGAACGCUGGCGGCAGGCUUAACACAUGCAAGUCGAGCGGGCGUAGCAAUGCGUCAGCGGCAGACGGGUGAGUAACGCGUGGGAACGUACCUUUUGGUUCGGAACAACACAGGGAAACUUGUGCUAAUACCGGAUAAGCCCUUACGGGGAAAGAUUUAUCGCCGAAAGAUCGGCCCGCGUCUGAUUAGCUAGUUGGUGAGGUAACGGCUCACCAAGGCGACGAUCAGUAGCUGGUCUGAGAGGAUGAUCAGCCACAUUGGGACUGAGACACGGCCCAAACUCCUACGGGAGGCAGCAGUGGGGAAUAUUGGACAAUGGGGGCAACCCUGAUCCAGCCAUGCCGCGUGAGUGAUGAAGGCCCUAGGGUUGUAAAGCUCUUUUGUGCGGGAAGAUAAUGACGGUACCGCAAGAAUAAGCCCCGGCUAACUUCGUG